CAGCCGCCGCGGGAAUACGAAGGGGGCUAGCGUUGUUCGGAAUUACUGGGCGUAAAGCGCACGUAGGCGGACAUUUAAGUCAGGGGUGAAAUCCCGGGGCUCAACCCCGGAACUGCCUUUGAUACUGGGUGUCUAGAGUAUGGAAGAGGUGAGUGGAAUUCCGAGUGUAGAGGUGAAAUUCGUAGAUAUUCGGAGGAACACCAGUGGCGAAGGCGGCUCACUGGUCCAUUACUGACGCUGAGGUGCGAAAGCGUGGGGAGCAAACAGGAUUAGAUACCCGGGUAGUCCCUGUCUCUUAUAU
This 301-nucleotide ribosomal RNA is filed under the name uncultured bacterium. RNAcentral describes it as "partial 16S ribosomal RNA". It matches the Rfam family "Bacterial small subunit ribosomal RNA", at positions 509 to 809 of the family's 1533-position model. The record is from RNAcentral.